AUAUUUUUAAACUGAAGUACAGUUGAUUUAUAUUCCUAUAUUUGUUUUGGGUGUACAACAUAGUGAUUCGAUACUUUUAUGGAAUGUACUCUAGGUGAGGUUACUGCUGUGCUCUCCUUCCCGUCGACUCUCUCCUCCGAAGAGAGCAGAGAUGCCCCUCGUCUUCCAGCCCAGCUCUCCGUUGUUUCUCAACACCUCAGCGGGACAGAGCCUGCCAGAACCGAGCCACAGAAAAGUGUAUCUGAGAUGGAUAAUUUCAAAGGCCCCUAUGCUCAGUGCUCUGCUCAUUAUUCUAUGGCAAAAAUCCAACCAACCAUAGACAUACCCCAUAGAUAUGUGACACCUGAACCCCGUGAUGUCCACUGACAGUGGUCACAAUGUGGCAAAUCGACAAUGCUGUGCUGUAGCAUCGGCAAGAUGUUAAAGAAAGGUAAGUAAAUCAGUGCCUUUUCUAUGAUCUCCAACCUCCCUGACACAGGAUGCUAUCCCAUCGCUGGAGGCUGAGCAGGCUUGGGUCCCACUUUGGCUCUGGAGGUGGUCGACACAGCCUGGCCCAGUGGCCUGUGUUGAACCCUACUGAAAUAUCUACUAUCUCCUACAUUCUGGCUGGGGUCAGGGUUGUGAGUGGCAUCAAGGCCUCAAGCAAUUGCAGGCAGGGCUCAGCAAGCCUAGUCCUUGCAUGCUGCUGGGAUUCCCAGCUCAAGGCUCAUUCCUGACAGUGCAGCCUCCUAGCACCCAAGCACCCUCAGCAGUGUGCUGUGGACCCUGAAGGGAUUAGCCUGGACCGGGUGUUUGUGUGAUGCUUUAGAAGGAAAAAGUCCUGAGACUCAAGCCCUUUCAUGUUUGCUCAGACACAUUCCACUCUAUUUCUCUUCCCAGGAAACCAACUUUCUCUAAGGCUUUGGUUACUCCAGGAACCCAAAGGAGGCCUGAAUAGUGCUGUCGUCUUUUGGACAAUUUCAGCACAUUCCACUCCAUCUCACAGCCCUGGAAGCCAACUUGCCCUAAGGCUCUGGUUGCCCCCAAGAACCAAGGUGGGUCUGAAAAAGUGCUGCCAUUUUGUGAACAUUUCCUGGAACUACAACUUGAUCACUCUUGCUCACAGGCACCUCAGUUCCCAAGGCCUGGGGUUCUGCGAAUGACAGCCACCCUCAGGAAAUGUCCUGCGACCAGCACCAGAGAAAGAAAUUCCAAACACAGCCAACUUUCAGGAAGCUGAACCAAAGCUAAACUGUCCUCACACCCUUUAAGGAAAAAAAAAAAAAGACAAUACAAACCCAAACCUCCCCGACCAUACAAGAUGCUCAACAUUCCUAAUUGCUGCAGAAAUGCCAGUCGAAAAGACGAUGGGAAAUUAAAUCCUACCACUCCCAAUGGCCAACAAUUAAUAUGGGAUGGAGUCUGGGGGACAAAGAAUCGCCCUAAGCUCUCAGUGGGAAUAGACAUCAGCGGCAGCCAGUAUCAUGGCCAGUCUCCAAAUGCCUGAAAAAAAUAAAAAAUCAAGUUCUACUAAGCUGAGGAUGCGACAUUCCCCCACUUUGGCCUGUAUCCUGACAAAACCAUCGAUCAAAAGGCACAAGCACCACAACAAACCUCCAGCACGACUUCCAGUAGCCGAGAUGCAAACCACAAAAUCUCCAACAAGAAGUUAAACAAGAAGUGUAGAUAUAUACAGCAGACUAUUUCUCACUCAUUAAAAAUCACCACUGAAAUUCGGAAAUUAGGACACUGGGAGCCACAGGCAUGGAACUAGAAGGAUCAUACACUAAGGGGAGUCAGUCAGGCAGAGAAAGCCUAUGGUAUAUGAGGUACAUUCCAAGCAAAACAAAUACAAACAUACGAGGCAACAUAUUUACAAUCCAAAAAGACUGAGAAUCCAAAGUCAAACAAAGUCUUCAAGAGAAGUAAGUAAAGGGCCUUGAAUGAAUUAGAAGUUCCGUACCUACACAGACAAGAAAUGUUGUAAUAGAUAAUCCGUGAGGAUUAUCCUCAUCCUUCCUUCAUUCUACAUGUACACAGGAAUCUGUAUCUCCAACCUAUACACAGAAAUCUCUAAGAGACAUUCCUCAAAAAUUAAGUGUCCUCCUUCUUUGUAUACACAAAACGUGUAUCUGGGAUACAUAAUCCAUGAGGACCUGAUGCUCAGCAUUCUGCUUGACAUUCUGUGGCCAAAAUAAAAAAAGAAUAGAGAUACCACAAGAUGAUUAAAUAUCUGAUCAGUGAGCUGUAUACUGACAAAAAUCACAACACUUCAAAUUGACUAUAUUGCAAGAUAGUGUCUGGAAAACGUUAAAGAAAAUGAAAGAGUUUCAGUUCCUACUCUAUGAUCCCCAACCUCCCUGACUUGGGAUGCUAUCCCAUCCCUGGAGGCUGAGCAGGCUUCUGUCGGACUCCUGGACUGGUGUGUGGCAGAGCCUGGAAUGUGGAAUGACAACUGCCCUGAGGAAAUGUCCAGGACAGAUUACUGGAGAAAAAGUUGAAACACAGCUGACUUUCAGGAAACCAACUGCCAAAGGUAAAUUGUGUUCAUACCCUUUAAGCCAAAAAAAACAAAAAAAACAAAAAACUCAAACAAAACAAAUUCAAAUCUCCACCACAGGACCUGAUGCUAAUAUUCCCUAAAUGCUGGAGGAAUGUCAAUCAAAAUGACAAUGGGAAAUCAAAUUUCACCACUCAAUGGCCAUCAUCACAAGUCUACAAAAAAUAAAUUAGGGAGAGAGCCUGGAGGAAAAAGAAUCAUCCUAAGCUGUUGGUGGGAAGAUACAAUGGCAUCAGCCAGUAUAAUGCACUUUGAAUGACUGGAGAAAAACUAUCAAGGGGUACUAAGCCUAGGAUUUGAGAAAAGCUUAUAUCCUGAGAAAACCAUGUGGCUAUGUUAAACACUGCACUGCAAUUUGUAAACAUAUACUUAAUGUAUAGCUACAAACACAAUAGAAAAGCAAGAAGAAAAAACAAAAUGAAGAAAAGCAAAAUGAAAAUAGGAUAUUUCUUACAACAGAAGAUCUGAUUGAGAAGUUUCCUUGCAUGAGAUUAUUUAAAAAAAAAACAAACUAGAUUUACUGCUUUAAUCUAUAUUUCAAAAAGAACUAAUUAGUCAAAUGAGGCCAAUUAAUCUACCAACAGGAUAACAAGAUAAAUAUGGACAAGAAAGCAGGUGAAAACAUUUUACCAGACACAUUUUAUGACACUGUGAUAAUACCAUUAAAAAAUACCGAAAAAUUUUGAUGAUUUUCUUUAAAGAAUGAAUCAAAAGGAGUUUACUCUGAAGAUGUAAUUUCCAUAUUUUAUAUGUGCCAAUAUUUUCCUGCAUGAAAUAUGGAAAAUUUCAUAUUUCAUGCAGGAAAAUCUAUGCCUAUAACUUCCUCUGUGGAAUACGGCAAAUUUCAUAUUCCAUAUAGGAAAAUCUCUGCCCAUAAUUUCCUGUAUGAAAUAUGGAAAAUUCUGAUUGAAAUUAUAUAUUUUCAGGAAAAUGAAUCUACAUAUUCUCAUACUAAGGCAAGGUUGCCAGAAACACACAGAAAACGGCCAUUAAAAAAUCACACUUGUGUAGAAUCUAAAAUAUGAGACAAAUGAACCUACCUAUGAAAUAGAGAUGGAGAAGGAAAUGGAAACCCACUCCAGUACUCUUGCCUAGAAAAUUCCAUGGAUGGAGGAGCCUGGUAGGCUACAGUCUAUGGGGUCACAAAGAGUCAGACACGACUAAGCAACUAACACACACACACACACGAAACAGAGAGAGACUCACAAAUCCAGGAGCUAAUGGUUGCCAGACUGGGGUAGAGGUUAAGAGGUAAAAUCACUAUCUGAAAUGUAAUAAAAUAAUAGGAUAUAGUAUGCAGCAGAGAG
This 3846-nucleotide long non-coding RNA is filed under the name Capra hircus (goat). RNAcentral's name for it is "lncRNA (ENSCHIG00000005392.1)". Lineage: Eukaryota; Metazoa; Chordata; Mammalia; Artiodactyla; Bovidae. The record is from RNAcentral.